CAAAGGAACCGUACGUGACACUCUCGCGUCAUACGGCUCCGUCCCGGAAUCAGGACCCCCCCUUUCCUUUGACCA
Molecule: transfer RNA, 75 nt
Filed under: Toona ciliata
Lineage: Eukaryota; Viridiplantae; Streptophyta; Magnoliopsida; Sapindales; Meliaceae
Also listed under: 2 other names
Description: tRNA-Arg
Source: RNAcentral